This 496-nucleotide ribosomal RNA is filed under the name uncultured bacterium. Its description in RNAcentral is "partial 16S ribosomal RNA". It matches the Rfam family "Bacterial small subunit ribosomal RNA", at positions 28 to 507 of the family's 1533-position model. The record is from RNAcentral.
GAUGAACGCUGGCGGCGUGCCUAAUACAUGCAAGUCGAGCGAACGGACGAGAAGCUUGCUUCUCUGAUGUUAGCGGCGGACGGGUGAGUAACAUGUGAUAACCUACCUAUAAGACUGGGAUAACUUCGGGAAACCGUAGCUAAUACCGGAUAAUAUUUUGAACCGCAUGGUUCAAAAGUGAAAGACGGUCUUGCUGUCACUUAUAGAUGGAUCCGCGCUGCAUUAGCUAGUUGGUAAGGUAACGGCUUACCAAGGCAACGAUGCAUAGCCGACCUGAGAGGGUGAUCGGCCACACUGGAACUGAGACACGGUCCAGACUCCUACGGGAGGCAGCAGUAGGGAAUCUUCCGCAAUGGGCGAAAGCCUGACGGAGCAACGCCGCGUGAGUGAUGAAGGUCUUCGGAUCGUAAAACUCUGUUAUUAGGGAAGAACAUAUGUGUAAGUAACUGUGCACAUCUUGACGGUACCUAAUCAGAAAGCCACGGCUAACUACGUG